This 400-nucleotide ribosomal RNA is filed under the name uncultured bacterium. Its description in RNAcentral is "bacterial SSU rRNA". It matches the Rfam family "Bacterial small subunit ribosomal RNA", at positions 356 to 773 of the family's 1533-position model. The record is from RNAcentral.
GGGGAAUAUUGGACAAUGGGCGCAAGCCUGAUCCAGCCAUGCCGCGUGAGUGAUGAAGGCCUUAGGGUUGUAAAGCUCUUUCACCGAUGAAGAUAAUGACGGUAGUCGGAGAAGAAGCCCCGGCUAACUUCGUGCCAGCAGCCGCGGUAAUACGAAGGGGGCUAGCGUUGUUCGGAUUUACUGGGCGUAAAGCGCACGUAGGCGGUUUGUUAAGUCAGGGGUGAAAUCCCGGAGCUCAACUCCGGAACUGCCUUUGAUACUGGCAAGCUAGAGUCCGGAAGAGGUAAGUGGAACUCCUAGUGUAGAGGUGGAAUUCGUAGAUAUUAGGAAGAACACCAGUGGCGAAGGCGGCUUACUGGUCCGGAACUGACGCUGAGGUGCGAAAGCGUGGGGAGCAAAC